Carassius gibelio (silver crucian carp) is the source of this 1648-nucleotide long non-coding RNA. RefSeq lists it as uncharacterized. NCBI's taxonomy places the organism in Eukaryota, Metazoa, Chordata, Actinopteri, Cypriniformes, Cyprinidae. The record is from RefSeq and is a predicted model, not a curated record. The transcript is spliced from 3 exons.
CACACCCUUGACCUGGAUGCUAAUAAAUGCUGCAAAAUGGAGAGCCAAUGAAACUCUGCAUCAUCCGUCCAGAUUAUCAUCCUUUUCAAAUUCACAAUGCUGAAAUUAGUGGUGCUUCGAUUGAUCAGCUACCGAUCACAAUCGGCCGAUAAUCACUUUGUGAUGAUUGAUCGGCGGUCUCUAAAAAGGCUGAUCUCAUAAAACUGAUCUCAAGAUGACGUGGUGCUUGCCGUGAGAGGUUUGGCUCGACACGAAGUGACUCAAGUGAGACGGUGCGGCGUGGGUGAAAUAAUUAUAAUGCUUUAGGGAGUCAGGGGACGUUUCUAAUUCACACAAGGUCAUUCAGUCUAGAAGGGAUCGAUGAUAUGAGAAUAAGCACAUGGACAUCUCGUGCUUUCAGCUGCUAGGAGACCACAGGAUACGGAGAAAGACAAGCAGAACAAACACCGCGGCCAGAGUGAAACUGCUAGCGUACAUGGUGAGGUUGAUGAAGAAGUGGACCACCUUGCACAUGAAGGACCCAAAGACCCAACCCUCCAGAGAGUAGAUGGUUGCUUGGAAAGGCACACAGAAGAUGAUGAAGAAGAAAUCAGCUACGCUGAGGUUGAGAAUGAACAGAUUGGUGGUGUUAUACCCAACCUGCCCACUUCUGAGGAGCACAGCCAGCACCAAACUAUUCCCAAUGGUCCCCAGGAGGAAGAUGAGCGAGAAGACCACAGACACAAUGACACUGGCUGGGUUGAGCUGGUAGCUUUCAGAGGCGUUCCAGUGUCCCAUGGCUUUAUUCAGGUCUUCGUGGUCUGACAUUUUAAGACGUGAAGAGCCCUGCAAAAGGCCAUAAAUUAUUAGACACUGCUGCAUCACUGAGUCACUGGGGACUUUCCUCUCAUGAAGAAUGUGUGGAUUUGAAAUAAAGUGCAUUAAUGAACAUCUCGCAUAUCUUUCCAGAAUCUGAAUCGCAGCAUAAGAUAUAAAAGCUCUUCUGAAAAGCCAUAUUGCUAGACCCGCAUUGAGAGCAAAUAUCAGGAGGAUCUGACCUCAACAUGAACAUGAAAAAAAAAAGUACAUUGUGAUUACAAAAGAUCCUGAGAGCUGCUGCAAGUACAAAGAGGAUUGAAGAAUGAAAUGGAGCCAAGACUAAAAUCAAUUUCAGGAAGCUAUCAUGACCUCUCUAAGGGCAAUGAACCAGUCUUAUCAAGAUAUGAAGAGCAUGUCUCCAUCUGGUUGAGAACUAUUCGAAAUGAAAAUGGACAAAUUCAUUUUGCAUUCAUCAGAGAUCUUAGUGGAGAGUUGUUUGGGGAUAUAAAUACAGAGUCAGUGUGGCAUGAUAUGGGCGACUGAAUAGAGUGCAAUACAUUGGGCUAUGGCAGGAUUAUAUUAGACGUUUUGUUGUUGGUUUAACCUGACAAGUGAAAAGGAAUGCAAUUGCCUACCAGCGGUUAAUCUCACAGUAAUUCCCAAUAGGUGUUGCUCAGAAACAGUCAGCAUUGAUUUCUCCUCUUCAAUUAUUGAUCAGCCUAUAGAAAGAAGAAGAAAAAACACACUUUUUAUCUUUUACGUUAACAAGCACACAGAUUUAAUGAGAUACGUAGUUGUCUGGGGAAUAGAAACAUCUUCCCAUUAAAGAAAUAUUUUAUAGCACUGUAAA